CGGAGUUGUCCCAAGCAUUAACUCAAUACCAAACUCUACUCCCGAAUAGGUGGCAAACCCAGUAAUUCUUCAGGAAACACAUUCGGAUACUCGCACACAACAGGUACUGAUUCAAUGUUUCUUUCAGCUACUUUACUAUAAGCACAUAUACAAAGUAAGCCUCGCAGCCUUUUCUCACAUAUUUCUGAGCUAACAUCGAAAAAAUUACUACAGGUAAACCAUAUAAAUCACUAGAUUCAAUCCGAUUAACCUCAUUA
This 257-nucleotide long non-coding RNA is filed under the name Gossypium barbadense (sea-island cotton). Its description in RNAcentral is "long non-coding RNA (GBAR_LNC002324)". Lineage: Eukaryota; Viridiplantae; Streptophyta; Magnoliopsida; Malvales; Malvaceae. The record is from RNAcentral.